AUUUCGUUUGUUAAAUUUUCGACAGCUAAACAAAAACUAUUCGG
RNAcentral lists this non-coding RNA (44 nucleotides) under Plasmodium falciparum 3D7. The record is from RNAcentral. Lineage: Eukaryota; Apicomplexa; Aconoidasida; Haemosporida; Plasmodiidae.